This 75-nucleotide transfer RNA is filed under the name Achromobacter xylosoxidans. RNAcentral's name for it is "tRNA-Gly". It matches the Rfam family "tRNA". From Rfam's summary of the family: Transfer RNA (tRNA) molecules are approximately 80 nucleotides in length. Their secondary structure includes four short double-helical elements and three loops (D, anti-codon, and T loops). Further hydrogen bonds mediate the characteristic L-shaped molecular structure. tRNAs have two regions of fundamental functional importance: the anti-codon, which is responsible for specific mRNA codon recognition, and the 3' end, to which the tRNAs corresponding amino acid is attached (by aminoacyl-tRNA synthetases). tRNAs cope with the degeneracy of the genetic code in two manners: having more than one tRNA (with a specific anti-codon) for a particular amino acid; and 'wobble' base-pairing, i.e. permitting non-standard base-pairing at the 3rd anti-codon position. Lineage: Bacteria; Pseudomonadati; Pseudomonadota; Betaproteobacteria; Burkholderiales; Alcaligenaceae. The record is from RNAcentral.
GCGGGCUUGGCCGAGUGGUCAGGCUGCGGCCUUCCAAGCCGCCUAUGUCGGGUUCGAUUCCCGCAGCCCGCUCCA